GGCCAGACUCCUACGGGAGGCAGCAGUGGGGAAUAUUGCACAAUGGGGGAAACCCUGAUGCAGCGACGCCGCGUGAGUGAAGAAGUAUUUCGGUAUGUAAAGCUCUGUCAGCAGGGAAGAAAGAAAUGACGGUACCUGACCAAGAAGCCCCGGCUAACUACGUGCCAGCAGCCGCGGUAAUACGUAGGGGGCAAGCGUUAUCCGGAAUUACUGGGUGUAAAGGGAGCGUAGACGGUUAAGUAAGUCUGGAGUGAAAGGCCGGGGCCCAACCCCGGGACUGCUCUGGAAACUAUUUAACUUGAGUGCAGGAGAGGUAAGCGGAAUUCCUAGUGUAGCGAUGAAAUGCGUAGAUAUUAGGAGGAACACCGGUGGCGAAGGCGGCCUGCUGGACGAUGACUGACGCUGAGGCUCGAAAGCGUGGGGAGCAAACAGGAUUAGAUACCCCAGUA
This 449-nucleotide ribosomal RNA is filed under the name uncultured bacterium. RNAcentral's name for it is "bacterial SSU rRNA". It matches the Rfam family "Bacterial small subunit ribosomal RNA", at positions 329 to 792 of the family's 1533-position model. The record is from RNAcentral.